Chelonoidis abingdonii (Abingdon island giant tortoise) is the source of this 115-nucleotide ribosomal RNA. Lineage: Eukaryota; Metazoa; Chordata; Testudines; Testudinidae. The record is from Ensembl.
GCCUGUAGCCAUACCACCUCGAGCUCUGAUCCCAUCAGAUCACAGAAGCUAAGACAGGUGAGCCUGGGUCACUAUUUGAAUUGAAAACUUCAUAGGAACUUAGGUAUUGCAUGAA